GCUUGGAAAAUCUGGUUAGGACCUUAGCCUUCCAAGCUAAUGACUCGGGUUCAAAUCCCGAUCGGCGCA
RNAcentral lists this transfer RNA (69 nucleotides) under Thermoplasmata archaeon. RNAcentral's name for it is "tRNA-Gly". It matches the Rfam family "tRNA". Rfam says of the family: Transfer RNA (tRNA) molecules are approximately 80 nucleotides in length. Their secondary structure includes four short double-helical elements and three loops (D, anti-codon, and T loops). Further hydrogen bonds mediate the characteristic L-shaped molecular structure. tRNAs have two regions of fundamental functional importance: the anti-codon, which is responsible for specific mRNA codon recognition, and the 3' end, to which the tRNAs corresponding amino acid is attached (by aminoacyl-tRNA synthetases). tRNAs cope with the degeneracy of the genetic code in two manners: having more than one tRNA (with a specific anti-codon) for a particular amino acid; and 'wobble' base-pairing, i.e. permitting non-standard base-pairing at the 3rd anti-codon position. RNAcentral also lists the same sequence under 1 other name. Lineage: Archaea; Methanobacteriati; Thermoplasmatota; Thermoplasmata. The record is from RNAcentral.